RNAcentral lists this transfer RNA (69 nucleotides) under Paratimomenus flavocapitatus. RNAcentral's name for it is "tRNA-Gln". The record is from RNAcentral. Lineage: Eukaryota; Metazoa; Arthropoda; Insecta; Dermaptera; Forficulidae.
UACAAUCUAGUGUACGAAGCACGUAAGCUUUUGAGGUUGAAAAGAACAGUUUAAUUCUGGGGGUUGUAA